GAUGAACGCUGGCGGCGUGCCUAAUACAUGCAAGUCGAGCGAACAGACGAGGAGCUUGCUCCUCUGACGUUAGCGGCGGACGGGUGAGUAACACGUGGAUAACCUACCUAUAAGACUGGGAUAACUUCGGGAAACCGGAGCUAAUACCGGAUAAUAUAUUGAACCGCAUGGUUCAAUAGUGAAAGACGGUUUUGCUGUCACUUAUAGAUGGAUCCGCGCCGCAUUAGCUAGUUGGUAAGGUAACGGCUUACCAAGGCAACGAUGCGUAGCCGACCUGAGAGGGUGAUCGGCCACACUGGAAGUGAGACACGGUCCAGACUCCUACGGGAGGCAGCAGUAGGGAAUCUUCCGCAGUGGGCGAAAGCCUGACGGAGCAACGCCGCGUGAGUGAUGAAGGUCUUGGGAUCGUAAAACUCUGUUAUUAGGGAAGAACAAAUGUGUAAGUAACUAUGCACGUCUUGACGGUACCUAAUCAAAAAGCCACGGCUAACUACGUG
Molecule: ribosomal RNA, 497 nt
Filed under: uncultured bacterium
Lineage: Bacteria
Description: partial 16S ribosomal RNA
Rfam family: Bacterial small subunit ribosomal RNA
Source: RNAcentral